Molecule: ribosomal RNA, 253 nt
Filed under: uncultured bacterium
Lineage: Bacteria
Description: partial 16S ribosomal RNA
Rfam family: Bacterial small subunit ribosomal RNA
Source: RNAcentral
UACGAAGGGGGCUAGCGUUGUUCGGAAUCACUGGGCGUAAAGCGCACGUAGGCGGCUCUUUAAGUCAGGGGUGAAAUCCCGAGGCUCAACCUCGGAACUGCCUUUGAUACUGGGGAUCUCGAGUCCGGGAGAGGUGAGUGGAACUGCGAGUGUAGAGGUGAAAUUCGUAGAUAUUCGCAAGAACACCAGUGGCGAAGGCGGCUCACUGGCCCGGUACUGACGCUGAGGCGCGACAGCGUGGGGAGCAAACAGG